GCAGGAUCGAGUUACGUCAAUCUGUAAUCAAGUGAUGCAUUAGAGGGGAGAAUGGGAGCAUUGUCGAUGAACGAUGGGGUAAACGACGCAUACAGUUGAUCCACUCUAACGUUGGUGUCUACAUACUACUAAUCUCUAAGGGUUGGUUGUAAGUUGAUAAUGACCGAGCAGAGGUCCAGGCUGGCAACAGAGCAGACAGAGCGAGGCACAUCAAUGGGUAGUGGGGAAAGUCGACUUAAAGUCGUCCAUAAAUAAAUGACAAUGCCAACCCGAACAAACUUUUUUUUU
Non-coding RNA from Dictyostelium firmibasis, 288 nucleotides. The record is from the annotation of a GenBank genome assembly. Lineage: Eukaryota; Evosea; Eumycetozoa; Dictyosteliales; Dictyosteliaceae.